This 292-nucleotide ribosomal RNA is filed under the name uncultured bacterium. Its description in RNAcentral is "partial 16S ribosomal RNA". The record is from RNAcentral.
GGACUACCGGGGUAUCUAAUCCUGUUUGCUCCCCACGCUUUCGAGCCUCAGCGUCAGAAACGUUCCAGAGCGCCGCCUUCGCCACCGGCCUUCCUCCCGAUCUCUACGCAUUUCACCGCUACACCGGGAAUUCCGCGCUCCUCUCCCGUCCUCUAGCCUGGCAGUCCCCUCUGAACUUUCCGGGUUGAGCCCGAAGAUUUCACGGAGGGCUUACCAAACCGCCUACGCUCCCUGUACGCCCAGUAAAUCCGAACAACGCUUGCCACCUUCGUAUUACCGCGGCUGCUGGCAC